CACAGAAGGUACAGAGAGAGGCUGUAUUUGUGCAGACAGAUUCUACCUUUGGCUGUCGCACAUUUUGGGAAAAGGAAAGCAGUAUUGAUCAAGGAUUUGUAGAAAUCCCUCUUGGUGAUGAAAAAUUAGCUCCAACUACAGAGGGAAAAGUGUCCAAGCCCAGGAGGGUACCAAUCAUAGGGAGGCUGAAGACAUUUAAAUUUUGGCUACUUACCAAACUAAGGCAGUUAAUCAGAUACUGACUGUUCUUCAUUUUUUUCACAAAAACUGAAUGAAAACAAGAACUAAAGCACUGUGCAUGCAUGA
Lingula anatina is the source of this 306-nucleotide long non-coding RNA. The record is from RefSeq and is a predicted model, not a curated record. NCBI's taxonomy places the organism in Eukaryota, Metazoa, Brachiopoda, Lingulata, Lingulida, Lingulidae.